Schizosaccharomyces pombe (fission yeast) is the source of this 498-nucleotide non-coding RNA. Lineage: Eukaryota; Fungi; Ascomycota; Schizosaccharomycetes; Schizosaccharomycetales; Schizosaccharomycetaceae. The record is from the annotation of a GenBank genome assembly.
UUCGAGUCAUAUCCAAUGGAUUGUUGCAAUUUGCAAUGAGUGCUUUUCUUAAAAAAAUUGCGAGACGUGUUAAACUCCUAAGUAAGCAUUCAAAAACACUUCCAAAAAUCCAUAAGGGUAGUCAAGCAAUCAUCGAAAAGGACAUAUUUGCUUAUUUUUUUUUCUAAAGUGCUUUCAACUGAUUUUUUCGGAGGCAAAACUCAAAAUCGGCAAAAACACGGAUUAUUAAGGAGCGGAAGAAACAUUAAGCAUUUUUUUUCGUAAAAAAGAUUGAUUCACCGGAUGAUUUACUCUUGAAAACAGUAAAAUAGAAAUGUCGUUGGCUUAUACCAAGAAGUCUUCAAUCCACUCAUAUUGCCCCAUAUGAGGAUUCCAACGGCGAUUUUUCAUAGCAUAUUGCUCUUCAUCGCUACUCCAACCUUCAGCUCCAGCAAUGCUAGCAGGAACCGAGCUCUUGUAGAGUUUGUCAUUCUUCUCUUCUGUUUGGGGUAAAUAAGG